Molecule: ribosomal RNA, 697 nt
Filed under: Proteus sp. (in: enterobacteria)
Lineage: Bacteria; Pseudomonadati; Pseudomonadota; Gammaproteobacteria; Enterobacterales; Morganellaceae
Description: bacterial SSU rRNA
Rfam family: Bacterial small subunit ribosomal RNA
Source: RNAcentral
CGGCGAGAUGUCUAUAUGUGUGUUGGGGUCUUCUACCUCGGCUUCUGGAGCUACGCGUUAAAUCCACCGCCUGGGGAGUACGGCCGCAAGGUUAAAACUCAAAUGAAUUGACGGGGGCCCGCACAAGCGGUGGAACAUGUGUUUUAAUUCAAUGCAACGCGAAAAACCUUACCUACUCUUGACAUCCUGUAAUCCUUUAGAGAUAUAGGAGUGCCUUCGGGAACGCUGACACAGGUGCUGCAUGGUGUGUCCUCCUCUCGUGUUGUGAGUGUUGGGUUAAUUCCCCCAACAACGCCAACCCUUAUCCUUUGUUGCCCCGCGUUUGGCGGUAUCUCGAGGAGACUGCCGGUAAUAAACCGAAGGAGGUGGGGAUGACCUCAAUUCUGCCGGCCCUUACAAGUAGGGCUACCCCGCUGCUACAAUGGCAAAAACAAAAAGAAUGCCCCUCCGGGGAACAAACGAAACUCAAAAAGUCUGUCCUAAUCCGGAUUGGAGUCUGCAACCCCACUCCAUGAAGUCGGAAUCGUUAGUAAUCAUAAAUAUGACUGCGACGGUAAAUACUUUCCCGGUCCUUGUACACCCCGCCCGUCCCACCAUGGGAGUGGGUUGCAAAAUACGUGGGUAGCUUAUCCUUCGGGAGGCCGCUUACGAGUGUGUGAUUCAUGACUGGGGGUGAAUCCAAAAGGGAAAACAAAAA